Molecule: long non-coding RNA, 830 nt
Filed under: Helianthus annuus (common sunflower)
Lineage: Eukaryota; Viridiplantae; Streptophyta; Magnoliopsida; Asterales; Asteraceae
Description: sRNA HanXRQr2_Chr01g0015371
Source: RNAcentral
UGCAUAUGUCAUACAUCUUCUCCAAUUCAUAUAUGCACAAGAUCAUGUUGCACAAUGUUCAGAACUUGAACCUAUAUAAUUAAAAAUAACUCCUUUAAAGGCCUUAAAGUUGCUAUGACAUCAGAACCACUAUCUAUUGUAGAUGAAAUCAUAGCAAAAAUGUAAAAAAUCAAACCAGAACCAUAUAUCUUUUUUAACUGUAACGGUGUAACCACGGAAACAAAACUAAAGAUAACAGAAUUCAGGUUACAAGUUACACGUCUAAAGAGUAUAAAUUAGAGUUAAAAAAAACUUAACACAUCAGGAGACAUAAUUACUAACCUGCACAAAAUUAAAACGGGCAGCAAAUUUGAACCUAACUGACAUGAAAUGGACCGAUAUCACCGGUCAGAAUCGAACCAGCGAUCUCAUCAGUAACAGUUAAGCAAGAAAUAACCCAAUCACUAAUCGCCAUCCACACCAUAUCGCCAUCCACUGUGACACACUCCACGACACUGCCAUAAUCCUUUGUCCCCUUUUUCAUUAGUGAGCCAGAAAUGUACUUGUUGGAUCUGCAUGAGAAAGGCACUUGUUGUCGACUGAUUUGUUUCGGUUCCUUGCUAUGCCUCAAGCACUUGGUUUAGACCAGUUUUAUUUUGUUGGACCAACCAGACCAGUCUUAAUACCAACACAUAGACCGUAUGAACAGGUUAUGGUUGGGCCAGCUGUUCUGGUUUUUAGUUCUUAACCAUAUUACCUUGAAAAGUAGGAGGCAACGACCAUAAGGUAAGAUGCUCAAACUGAACCGAAUCAAUUUUGAACUUUGGAAUUUGUUCAGCAAUAAUGGGCUU